GCUCCUGUGCGCAUGCGUGGUAGAGGUCAGUAAGACGGGGGUGGUCCGUUGUUAUGCCCAGGGGCAUAUGCUCCUGACAGUGGCAGCUCAUGACCCCAGGAAGCCAUCGCUCCCCAGAAGAAGGACCUGAAUUUGGAGACUCAGGACUGCUGUUGACCGCCGUCUCACCUCAGACAGCACCGCAGACAGCCGGCUCAGCUCACAGUGAAAUGUUGCAGUAUCUAUCUGUCUCCUGAGGUCCUCACCCAGCUGGCAGAGCAGGAAGCUCAGGAUGGACCACAGCCUUUACAAUGAACCAAAGCCACACAGGAGGCUGAGAUGAGAAUCUAGCCCCGAGCCCAGGACAGAAGUUCACAUGCACAUCGGAGAGGAGGAAGGCAAAUGUCCUGGAACUCUGAGGAGAACACACAGCUGCCAUUGGCUUCCUGAAAAUCUCACAGCUGCUAGAUGCCCAUCACUGGCCACACACGCAUCACAACCAGAAGGUCCUUGGCCUCCGUCUCCACCCCUCCUUGGCCCUGCCGUUGGGUUGCCAGUGUCCUGGGCCUGAACGCAACCAGGGAGCCUCCCCAACCGAAUACCUGUCAAAGAGACGGUGCUCGUCAAGAACAGUCUUGUGAUGGCUUAAAUACAGUCUGUGUGGACGUGUGACA
Long non-coding RNA from Mastomys coucha (southern multimammate mouse), 653 nucleotides. RefSeq lists it as uncharacterized. The record is from RefSeq and is a predicted model, not a curated record. The transcript has 2 exons. NCBI's taxonomy places the organism in Eukaryota, Metazoa, Chordata, Mammalia, Rodentia, Muridae.